ACGGCUCAGUAACACGUGGACAACCUACCCUCCGGACGGGUAUAAACCCGGGAAACUGGGUAUAAUACCCGAUAGUUCUCGGCUGCUGGAAUGCACCGAGUACUAAAGCUCCGGCGCCUAAGGAUGGGUCUGCGGCCUAUCAGGUAGUAGUGGGUGUAGUGUACCUGCUAGCCUACGACGGGUACGGGUUGUGAGAGCAAGAGCCCGGAGAUGGAUUCUGAGACACGAAUCCAGGCCCUACGGGGUGCAGCAGGCGCGAAAACUUUGCAAUGCUGGCAACAGCGAUAAGGGAACCUCGAGUGCCAGGUUACAAAUCUGGCUGUCGAGAUGCCUAAAAAGCAUUUCAUAGCAAGGGCCGGGCAAGACCGGUGCCAGCCGCCGCGGUAACACCGGCGGCUCGAGUGGUAACCGUUAUUAUUGGGUCUAAAGGGUCUGUAGCCGGCCGGAUAAGUCUCUUGAGAAAUCUGGCAGCUUAACUGUCAGGCUUUCAGGAGAUACUGUCUGGCUCGAGGCCGGGAGAGGUGAGAGGUACUUCAGGGGUAGGGGUGAAAUCUUGUAAUCCUUGAAGGACCACCAGUGGCGAAGGCGUCUCACCAGAACGGACCUGACGGCAAGGGACGAAAGCUAGGGGCACGAACCGGAUUAGAUACCCGGGUAGUCCUAGCCGUAAACGAUACUCGCUAGGUGUCGGCCACGGUGCGACCGUUGUCGGUGCCGUAGGGAAGCCGUGAAGCGAGCCACCUGGGAAGUACGGCCGCAAGGCUGAAACUUAAAGGAAUUGGCGGGGGAGCACCACAACGGGUGGAGCUUGCGGUUUAAUUGGAUUCAACGCCGGA
This 836-nucleotide ribosomal RNA is filed under the name uncultured archaeon. Its description in RNAcentral is "bacterial SSU rRNA". It matches the Rfam family "Archaeal small subunit ribosomal RNA", at positions 85 to 922 of the family's 1478-position model. The record is from RNAcentral.